GAAGAUGAAAAGGAAAGAGAGGAGAAAAAAAAGCAUUGGUGGUUGUUCGCCUUUCUGUUGAUCUGAAGUGGGCUAUUUGUUUCUUUUUUCCCUUUUUCUCAUA
Molecule: non-coding RNA, 103 nt
Filed under: Chromera velia
Lineage: Eukaryota; Chromeraceae
Source: RNAcentral